CCCCUCUCCUCUCUCUCUCUAGAUGACUCUCUGUAUCCCAUCAUCAUCAUCUUGAAUAAAUAACACCCAUCUGCCUUCUUUCUUUCAAGAACAUCUUCUUUAUAUGUGCACCACAGUUAGUGUGUGUUUUCUGGCUUUAGGGUUUCUUUCAUGGUGGUUUAGUGAAGAGUUUUCAUUAGAUUCCUUUAGGGUUUUUAGGGUUUCUUUCAUGGUGGUUUAAUAAAGAGUUUCCAGCAGAUUUCUUUGGCAUUCUGUCCACCUCCAUAUUCAUUGAUCUAUGUAUCUCACUGUUGUGUAAAUGUGUAAUUAGGGUUUAUUGGUUUGAUAAGAAAAGAGAAAUAAUCUAGUGCAAGAUUUUGUUUUCUUUUUCUUGUGUGUGUAAUCUGUGUUUAGUUAAGAGUGUGGAGGUGGGCAUACUGUCAAUGGAGCUCUGUUGGUAUCUCUUUGUAAAACCAUCUUGAAUCUUCUUUUUAUGAUCGAUCAUCUUUCCACAUGAUCUAUCACCGAAAAGUACAGUGUGUACUUGCAUAUUAUGCUUCUCACUACUGUGGAUAGUGUGUGUGUUUUUGUGUGGAUCUUGUUUUGACUUGUUGAUAGUGUUGAAAGCAUUAUGUUUUUGCAGUACUGGUGUGAUGAUUCAUCCCAAAAGCAGACGUCUGUGUAGAUGAUCAUUAUCAAAGCUUGCGGACUAUAUCUGUCGGAGAAGAGGUGGACAUCGGCAGGAGAAGAGAUAGAUCAAACCUCUGCAGUCUGCAAGAAGAAGACUGUUUGUUUUUUCAACGUAUGCAGACUUCUAAAAUAAGCUACUGGUGGUGUACGGACGGUGGUGGACGUGGGUGGGGUGAGGUGGUGCUGUUUAAUCCUUUGCAGUACUUAGAAGAUCUUAGAUAUGGUUGGAUUAAGUUUGCAACAAGAAGAACUCGUGCAGACGGUUUUUUUUAAUGAAAUGUCUUUGGAAAAACAAACAGUUUGCAGACAACAAAAUCUGCGCGGCAAAGAUAAAAGAGUCUGUGCAUGUCGUUUUUAGAAAAUCUACGCAACCUAAGAGUUUGUUUUAAUAUGAGUUGAAAUAUGUUAAUUUGUUUGAAAUAGAUUAUUGACCAAAAUGCUUAUAUAUGUUUGAAUUGAGAAUAACUUAGUGUUU
RNAcentral lists this long non-coding RNA (1144 nucleotides) under Helianthus annuus (common sunflower). The stretch from base 231 to 437 matches the Rfam family "MIR394 microRNA precursor family". Lineage: Eukaryota; Viridiplantae; Streptophyta; Magnoliopsida; Asterales; Asteraceae. The record is from RNAcentral.